RNAcentral lists this ribosomal RNA (468 nucleotides) under uncultured bacterium. RNAcentral's name for it is "partial 16S ribosomal RNA". It matches the Rfam family "Bacterial small subunit ribosomal RNA", at positions 28 to 507 of the family's 1533-position model. The record is from RNAcentral.
GACGAACGCUGGCGGCGUGCUUAACACAUGCAAGUCGAACGGAAAGGCCCUGCUUUUGUGGGGUGCUCGAGUGGCGAACGGGUGAGUAACACGUGAGUAACCUGCCCUUGACUUUGGGAUAACUUCAGGAAACUGGGGCUAAUACCGGAUAGGAGCUCCUGCUGCAUGGUGGGGGUUGGAAAGUUUCGGCGGUUGGGGAUGGACUCGCGGCUUAUCAGCUUGUUGGUGGGGUAGUGGCUUACCAAGGCUUUGACGGGUAGCCGGCCUGAGAGGGUGACCGGCCACAUUGGGACUGAGGUACGGCCCAGACUCGUACGGGAGGCAGCAGUGGGGAAUAUUGCACAAUGGGCGGAAGCCUGAUGCAGCGACGCCGCGUGCGUGAUGACGGCCUGCGGGUUGUAAACCGCUUUCGCCUGUGACGAAGCGUGAGUGACGGUAAUGGGUAAAGAAGCACCGGCUAACUACGUG